GUGUGAAUUCCUCCCUGGAGUUCUCCCAUGACAAACUGGACUCAUGGUAGCUGUAAUCUUCAAGCUGUCCAUGUAAGUGAUUGAUUGAGCAGAGCUGGUGUUAGAACCAUCUAGGUGCUCCUUUCACAGCAGGGGGUGGAACAAAACAAGGCAAAUGGAACACAAGAGAAAAAGAGAGAGAUUUUUCUCCAGCAGACCUCUGUGAGGAACUUUCUCCCAAUGGUGGAUCAGGAAAUGAGUGAAAGUUUGCUUGUGCUGUGAGAGCUGACUUCUCAAGGCAUUUAUAGAAUCAUAAACAUUCCAGGAACCUCUUUUUACCCAGGUGUCAGAAUCUACCUGGCUAAAAACAACUGGUAGUAAUGUAGAAAGCCUUUAUCAUAGUCAGCAAUAGCUGUGAUUCCUGCAUUGCAACUGUUUGGAUUAGAUGACACUUGGGCUUCCUUGCAACUAUACAAUUCUAUGAUUUUGCGAUGAUCAUAAUCAUUUACUUGUAUGCCGCCUUUCCAUAGUUAAACUCUGUCAAGGGAGCUAAUGAAACAAAAAGUUUUACAUAACAAAAGUAAUAACAUACACUAAAUAAAGCAUGUCAAUAAGUAUACAGUAAAAUUAAAUUGUUUCCACAUAAGUCAUAACAAGAUCUAACAAAUAAAGAUACAAAAGAAUAAUAAGAACAGGAAAAAUUAGGCAUUUCCAUUAUUGUUAUUUGAAGAAAGACAUAGUGUGUGUUUUUUAUUUUUUAACAUAAAACAUACAAGGAAAUAACAUUCUUCCAUACUGCUAAAGACAGAAGCAUUGAAUGACAUGUAGAGCCUAUAUAUUGAACAUGUUGCAAGUCCAAAAAUUCAGAGUGCAGAAGAAACCUACAGACUUUGUUAACAGACUAGGAAGCUGAAAUGAGAUAACCCAUCCAGAGAGCCUGCUGCAAUUCAGGAGGACAAAAUGCAUCUGUAUUGCUAUUAACAAAUGAAAUAAAUUGAAGCCAUACACCCUCAAAUCUUUCAUUUUUUUGUACUUCUGCAGACAGCUCUACAAUCAUGAGUAAAUUUCUCUGAAAGAACUACGUUUCACAAAACUUCCUAAACAGUAUCUCACCCCAAGAGCAGCUGGGCACCCUGAGCAGGACUCACAACGAAGAUGGUCUCCAACUUUUUCAGCCUCCUCAGUUUGGUUAGUAGAGUCAGUCAGGGCCCCAGGGCCCUCCCAGGCCAGGUGGAAAGACAAUAGCAGGGCAGGGAGCAAGGCUUGCUGGACUCCUAGCAAAGGUUAUGGUAUGAACUCAGUGACCAGUACAAAGCAGAUUCUCAUUCAGUUGCUCUUAAAACAGCAGUGACAAUAAAUCUCAUUUGAGAACAAGG
Non-coding RNA from Podarcis lilfordi (Lilford's wall lizard), 1355 nucleotides. The record is from the annotation of a GenBank genome assembly. Lineage: Eukaryota; Metazoa; Chordata; Lepidosauria; Squamata; Lacertidae.